This 377-nucleotide ribosomal RNA is filed under the name uncultured bacterium. Its description in RNAcentral is "bacterial SSU rRNA". It matches the Rfam family "Bacterial small subunit ribosomal RNA", at positions 521 to 896 of the family's 1533-position model. The record is from RNAcentral.
UAAUACAGAGGGUGCGAGCGUUGUCCGGAAUCACUGGGCGUAAAGGGCGCGUAGGUGGCUUGGUAAGCGUGUGGUGAAAGUCCGGGGCUCAACCCCGGAUCUGCCGUGCGAACUGCUGAGCUGGAGCACUGUAGAGGCAGGUGGAAUUUCGGGUGUAGCGGUGGAAUGCGUAGAUAUCCGAAAGAACACCAGUGGCGAAGGCGGCCUGCUGGGCAGUUGCUGACACUGAGGCGCGACAGCGUGGGGAGCAAACAGGAUUAGAUACCCUGGUAGUCCACGCCGUAAACGAUGGGUACUAGGUGUCUGGGGGAGCGACCCCCUGGGUGCCGACGCUAACGCAUGAAGUACCCCGCCUGGGGAGUACGGCCGCAAGGCUG